RNAcentral lists this ribosomal RNA (2902 nucleotides) under Enterobacter cloacae. Its description in RNAcentral is "23S ribosomal RNA". It matches the Rfam family "Bacterial large subunit ribosomal RNA". Lineage: Bacteria; Pseudomonadati; Pseudomonadota; Gammaproteobacteria; Enterobacterales; Enterobacteriaceae. The record is from RNAcentral.
UUAAGCGACUAAGCGUACACGGUGGAUGCCCUGGCAGUCAGAGGCGAUGAAGGACGUGCUAAUCUGCGAAAAGCGCCGGCGAGGUGAUAUGAACCUUUGACCCGGCGAUGUCCGAAUGGGGAAACCCAGUGUGAUUCGUCACACUAUCGUUAACUGAAUACAUAGGUUAACGAGGCGAACCGGGGGAACUGAAACAUCUAAGUACCCCGAGGAAAAGAAAUCAACCGAGAUUCCCCCAGUAGCGGCGAGCGAACGGGGAGCAGCCCAGAGUCUGAAUCAGCUUGUGUGUUAGUGGAACGGUCUGGAAAGUCCGGCGAUACAGGGUGACAGCCCCGUACACGAAAAUGCACAGGUUGUGAACUCGAAGAGUAGGGCGGGACACGUGGUAUCCUGUCUGAAUAUGGGGGGACCAUCCUCCAAGGCUAAAUACUCCUGACUGACCGAUAGUGAACCAGUACCGUGAGGGAAAGGCGAAAAGAACCCCGGCGAGGGGAGUGAAAAAGAACCUGAAACCGUGUACGUACAAGCAGUGGGAGCACCUUCGUGGUGUGACUGCGUACCUUUUGUAUAAUGGGUCAGCGACUUAUAUUCUGUAGCAAGGUUAACCGUAUAGGGGAGCCGAAGGGAAACCGAGUCUUAACUGGGCGUUAAGUUGCAGGGUAUAGACCCGAAACCCGGUGAUCUAGCCAUGGGCAGGUUGAAGGUUGGGUAACACUAACUGGAGGACCGAACCGACUAAUGUUGAAAAAUUAGCGGAUGACUUGUGGCUGGGGGUGAAAGGCCAAUCAAACCGGGAGAUAGCUGGUUCUCCCCGAAAGCUAUUUAGGUAGCGCCUCGUGAACUCAUCUUCGGGGGUAGAGCACUGUUUCGGCUAGGGGGCCAUCCCGGCUUACCAACCCGAUGCAAACUACGAAUACCGAAGAAUGUUAUCACGGGAGACACACGGCGGGUGCUAACGUCCGUCGUGAAGAGGGAAACAACCCAGACCGCCAGCUAAGGUCCCAAAGUCAUGGUUAAGUGGGAAACGAUGUGGGAAGGCACAGACAGCCAGGAUGUUGGCUUAGAAGCAGCCAUCAUUUAAAGAAAGCGUAAUAGCUCACUGGUCGAGUCGGCCUGCGCGGAAGAUGUAACGGGGCUAAACCAUGCACCGAAGCUGCGGCAGCGACACUAUGUGUUGUUGGGUAGGGGAGCGUUCUGUAAGCCGUUGAAGGUGUGCUGUGAGGCAUGCUGGAGGUAUCAGAAGUGCGAAUGCUGACAUAAGUAACGAUAAAGCGGGUGAAAAGCCCGCUCGCCGGAAGACCAAGGGUUCCUGUCCAACGUUAAUCGGGGCAGGGUGAGUCGACCCCUAAGGCGAGGCCGAAAGGCGUAGUCGAUGGGAAACAGGUUAAUAUUCCUGUACUUGGUGUUACUGCGAAGGGGGGACGGAGAAGGCUAUGUUAGCCGGGCGACGGUUGUCCCGGUUUAAGCAUGUAGGCGGAGGUUCCAGGUAAAUCCGGUACCUUAUUAACGCUGAGGUGUGAUGACGAGGCACUACGGUGCUGAAGUAACAAAUGCCCUGCUUCCAGGAAAAGCCUCUAAGCAUCAGGUAACAUCAAAUCGUACCCCAAACCGACACAGGUGGUCAGGUAGAGAAUACCAAGGCGCUUGAGAGAACUCGGGUGAAGGAACUAGGCAAAAUGGUGCCGUAACUUCGGGAGAAGGCACGCUGAUAUGUAGGUGAAGCCCCUGCGGGUGGAGCUGAAAUCAGUCGAAGAUACCAGCUGGCUGCAACUGUUUAUUAAAAACACAGCACUGUGCAAACACGAAAGUGGACGUAUACGGUGUGACGCCUGCCCGGUGCCGGAAGGUUAAUUGAUGGGGUUAGCGGUAACGCGAAGCUCUUGAUCGAAGCCCCGGUAAACGGCGGCCGUAACUAUAACGGUCCUAAGGUAGCGAAAUUCCUUGUCGGGUAAGUUCCGACCUGCACGAAUGGCGUAAUGAUGGCCAGGCUGUCUCCACCCGAGACUCAGUGAAAUUGAACUCGCUGUGAAGAUGCAGUGUACCCGCGGCAAGACGGAAAGACCCCGUGAACCUUUACUAUAGCUUGACACUGAACACUGGUCCUUGAUGUGUAGGAUAGGUGGGAGGCUUUGAAGCGUGGACGCCAGUCUGCGUGGAGCCGACCUUGAAAUACCACCCUUUAAUGGCUGGUGUUCUAACGUAGACCCGUAAUCCGGGUUGCGGACAGUGUCUGGUGGGUAGUUUGACUGGGGCGGUCUCCUCCCAAAGAGUAACGGAGGAGCACGAAGGUUAGCUAAUCCUGGUCGGACAUCAGGAGGUUAGUGCAAUGGCAUAAGCUAGCUUGACUGCGAGAGUGACGGCUCGAGCAGGUGCGAAAGCAGGUCAUAGUGAUCCGGUGGUUCUGAAUGGAAGGGCCAUCGCUCAACGGAUAAAAGGUACUCCGGGGAUAACAGGCUGAUACCGCCCAAGAGUUCAUAUCGACGGCGGUGUUUGGCACCUCGAUGUCGGCUCAUCACAUCCUGGGGCUGAAGUAGGUCCCAAGGGUAUGGCUGUUCGCCAUUUAAAGUGGUACGCGAGCUGGGUUUAGAACGUCGUGAGACAGUUCGGUCCCUAUCUGCCGUGGGCGCUGGAGAAUUGAGGGGGGCUGCUCCUAGUACGAGAGGACCGGAGUGGACGCAUCACUGGUGUUCGGGUUGUCAUGCCAAUGGCAUUGCCCGGUAGCUAAAUGCGGAAGAGAUAAGUGCUGAAAGCAUCUAAGCACGAAACUUGCCCCGAGAUGAGUUCUCCCUGACUCCUUGAGAGUCCUGAAGGAACGUUGAAGACGACGACGUUGAUAGGUCGGGUGUGUAAGCGUAGCGAUACGUUGAGCUAACCGAUACUAAUGAACCGUGAGGCUUAACCU